Molecule: long non-coding RNA, 1731 nt
Filed under: Homo sapiens (human)
Lineage: Eukaryota; Metazoa; Chordata; Mammalia; Primates; Hominidae
Description: PREDICTED lncRNA (TCONS_00261004)
Source: RNAcentral
UGAUGGUAAAUACCGAGUGUCGACUGGAUUGAAGGAUGCAAAGUAUUGAUCCUGGGUGUGUCUGUGAGGGUGUUGCCAAAGGAGGUUAACAUUUGAGUCAGUGGGCUGGGGAAGGCAGAUCCAACCUCAAUCUGGUGCGCCAUCUAAUAAGCUGCCAAUGAAUAUAAAGCAGGCAGAAAAACAUAAGAAGGUGAGACUGGCCUAGCCUCCCAGCCUGCAUCUUUCUCCCAUGCUGAAUGCUUCCUGUCCUCGAACAUCAGACUCCAAGUUCUUUAGUUUUGAGACUCGGACUGGCUUCCUUGCUCCUCAAGCUUGCAGACAGCCUAUUGUGGGACCUUGUGAUCAUAGAUCCUUGAUUAAUACAGAUGGGGUCCCACUAUGCUGCCCAGGCUGCUUUCAAACAGGGUCUUAACUCUGUCACCCAGGCUGGAGUGCAGUGGUGUGACCACAGCCACUGCAGGCUCAACCUCUGGGACUCAGGUGAUCCUCCCAUCUCAGCCUCCCAAGUAGCUGGGACUACAGGUUGCUUCUUCCAGAUCCCUUUUGAUCUACUUUCAGCUAUGGAUUCAUGAGAAUCAAGACUAAGCAGCCUGAAUUGAAGGAGUAACAGUAUCACCUAACAAUGAUUUUGCUGCCAUAGUAGCUGUUUGUAUACUGGCCAUAUGCCUAGGUAAAAUGAGGCCAGAUCACUCUCAAGAGUUUUCUAUCAGAGUUGGUGGUGAACUACUGCUCACGGAUAAUGGGUCUCACUCACUUUGUCAUCCAGGCUGGAGUGCAGUGGUGGGAUCUCAGCUCACUGCAACCUCCACCUCUUGGGUUUAAGCAAUUCUCCUGCCUCAGCCUCCCAAGUAACUGGGAUUACAGACGAGAAACCCCAGCUGAGGAGGCAAAUAUACUCAAGGAAAGUAAUAGUUUCCAAAUGCCUGGCAGUGCCAGGAAGGGGCCAUGUCCAUGGACCACUAUGUAAGGAUAUCUCAGUCUCUAGUCCAGCGUGGUUUAUGGUGCCAAAUAAGUGCCAGGUGAACUCACUACAUCUGACAAAAUCUCAAGGAACCAAGUUUACCAGAUAAUAUUUAUGAUUAUGUGAAAAAGACUGAGGAAAUCACUCAAGUGAUCCAUCAUACAGCACCUCCAGUUCCAAAGAAUACUGACUUACUUCAGCUGUACUGGUCUGGAGCUGCACAUUCUUUUCAGACAACUCUUGUUCCAGCUAGAGUGCAAUGGUGCAACCUCAGCUCACUGCAACCUCCGCUUCCCAGGUUCAAGCGAUUCUCCUGCUUCAGCCUCCCUGGUUGCUGGGAUUACAGGUGCUCAUCACCAUGUGCAGCUAAUUUUUUGUAUUUUUAGUAGAGACAGGGUUUUACCAUGUUGCCCAGGCUGGUCUCGAACUCCUGACCUCAGGUGAUCCACCCACCUCAGCCCCCCAAAGUUCUGAGAUUACAGACGUGAGACACUGCACCCGACCGGGGUGUUCAUUUUCUAAAAUCUUAAGUUGAAUGCCUUUUAAAAAAAAAAAGUCUAUUUAAACUCUGAGUUUACUGCCAAGAAUUGCCUUGACUAGGUUUUCAGAGGCAGUAUUUUUCUUUUUCCUUAUUUUCUAAAUUGAACUUUUCUUUCUUGGCUUACAUUCUACAUUGUAGAAUUAUGUUACAAUUUACUAGGGGUUGAGAUGUGGUGUGUUUAAACAUAUGAUUGGUUGGCUUAAACAUAUAAUUUGUUUUUACUUGUAUU